Molecule: long non-coding RNA, 561 nt
Filed under: Phasianus colchicus (ring-necked pheasant)
Lineage: Eukaryota; Metazoa; Chordata; Aves; Galliformes; Phasianidae
Description: lncRNA (ENSPCLG00000003507.1)
Source: RNAcentral
UGGGGCUCUAAGCAACCUAGCUGUAGGUGUCCCUGUUCAUUGCAGGGGAUUUGGACUAGGUGACCUUUAAGGGUUCCUUCCAACUCAGACAGUUCUAUGAUUCUGUGCUGAAACUACUGGGAGAAUAAUGUUUUAUUAAGGUGACAACUGCUUUACGCAUGCCCCCAUGCUCUCCUGGACACAGGGAUCAUCUCCCUUCCCUGCACUGCUGCUGAUGAGCACCAGAGCACCAGAGCACAGGCAUGGAGCACCAGACUCGUGGGCUCAGAGCACAGGUUGGGAACUUGCAGAUGUGCUCUGUGUCCCUUCCCAUGGGAACCAACCUUUGGAAGAGGGAUGGAAGACUGGAAGUACCUACGUCUCUUUGCAACAGAGAGUUAUGAAUCUGGAAAGUUUUCCCAACUCCCACUCUUUACCUCUAGCAGUUACUGUCUGAUGCAUGUAAGCCCCAUGUCAUUGCCUGCAUUCCUCAGGAUUUUGUCUCAUCUACUGUACACCAUCAAGGUACCCAUGUGAAAACUUCUAGUGCAAAUAGUCUAGGUACACACACACAGAUUUCCA